UACGGGGGGGGCAAGCGUUGUUCGGAAUUACUGGGCGUAAAGGGCUCGUAGGCGGCCAACUAAGUCGGACGUGAAAUCCCCAGGCUCAACCUGGGAACUGCAUCCGAUACUGGAUGGCUUGAAUUCGGGAGAGGGAUGCAGAAUUCCAGGUGUAGCGGUGAAAUGCGUAGAUAUCUGGAGGAAUACCGGUGGCGAAGGCGGCAUCCUGGACCGACAUUGACGCUGAUGCACGAAAGCGUGGGGAGCAAACAGG
Molecule: ribosomal RNA, 253 nt
Filed under: uncultured bacterium
Lineage: Bacteria
Description: partial 16S ribosomal RNA
Rfam family: Bacterial small subunit ribosomal RNA
Source: RNAcentral